RNAcentral lists this unclassified non-coding RNA (378 nucleotides) under plant metagenome. Its description in RNAcentral is "partial contains 5.8S ribosomal RNA, internal transcribed spacer 2, and large subunit ribosomal RNA". The stretch from base 1 to 105 matches the Rfam family "5.8S ribosomal RNA", at positions 50 to 154 of the family's 154-position model. The record is from RNAcentral.
GAAAUGCGAUAAGUAAUGUGAAUUGCAGAAUUCAGUGAAUCAUCGAAUCUUUGAACGCACCUUGCGCUCCUUGGUAUUCCUUGGAGCAUGCCUGUUUGAGUAUCAUGAAAUCUUCAAAGUAAAUCUUUUGAUAACUCAAUUGGUUUCUACUUUGGUAUUGGAGGUCUUUGCAGCUUCACACCUGCUCCUCUUUGUUCAUUAGCUGGAUCUCAGUGUUAUGCUUGGUUCCACUCGGCGUGAUAAGUUAUCUAUCGCUGAGGACACUGUAAAAGGUGGCCAAGGUAAAUGCAGAUGAACCGCUUCUAAUAGUCCAUUGACUUGGACAAUACUUUUAUGAUCUGAUCUCAAAUCAGGUAGGACUACCCGCUGAACUUAAGC